CAGCUCGAGUUUCUCUUCAUAACGUAUAAAUCUUUCAGCCUUUUACUAAAGAUUUCCGUGGAGGGGAGCCUUGGCGAGUUUUCUGUAUUUUUGGGGGCUCUGCUGCUAGCAGAGCU
This is a small nuclear RNA of Xyrauchen texanus (razorback sucker), 116 nucleotides long. RefSeq annotates it as U5 spliceosomal RNA. Lineage: Eukaryota; Metazoa; Chordata; Actinopteri; Cypriniformes; Catostomidae. The transcript has a single exon. The record is from RefSeq and is a predicted model, not a curated record.